RNAcentral lists this ribosomal RNA (509 nucleotides) under uncultured bacterium. Its description in RNAcentral is "partial 16S ribosomal RNA". It matches the Rfam family "Bacterial small subunit ribosomal RNA", at positions 355 to 855 of the family's 1533-position model. The record is from RNAcentral.
UAGGGAAUCUUCCACAAUGGACGCAAGUCUGAUGGAGCAACGCCGCGUGAGUGAAGAAGGUCUUCGGAUCGUAAAGCUCUGUUGUUGGUGAAGAAGGAUAGAGGCAGUAACUGGUCUUUAUUUGACGGUAAUCAACCAGAAAGUCACGGCUAACUACGUGCCAGCAGCCGCGGUAAUACGUAGGUGGCAAGCGUUGUCCGGAUUUAUUGGGCGUAAAGCGAGCGCAGGCGGAAUGAUAAGUCUGAUGUGAAAGCCCACGGCUCAACCGUGGAACUGCAUCGGAAACUGUCAUUCUUGAGUGCAAAAGAGGAGAGUGGAACUCCAUGUGUAGCGGUGGAAUGCGUAGAUAUAUGGAAGAACACCAGUGGCGAAGGCGGCUCUCUGGUCUGCAACUGACGCUGAGGCUCGAAAGCAUGGGUAGCGAACAGGAUUAGAUACCCUGGUAGUCCAUGCCGUAAACGAUGAGCGCUAGGUGUUGGGGACUUUCCGGUCCUCAGUGCCGCAGCAAA